Molecule: ribosomal RNA, 755 nt
Filed under: Escherichia coli
Lineage: Bacteria; Pseudomonadati; Pseudomonadota; Gammaproteobacteria; Enterobacterales; Enterobacteriaceae
Description: partial 23S ribosomal RNA
Rfam family: Bacterial large subunit ribosomal RNA
Source: RNAcentral
GUUAAGCGACUAAGCGUACACGGUGGAUGCCCUGGCAGUCAGAGGCGAUGAAGGACGUGCUAAUCUGCGAUAAGCGUCGGUAAGGUGAUAUGAACCGUUAUAACCGGCGAUUUCCGAAUGGGGAAACCCAGUGUGUUUCGACACACUAUCAUUAACUGAAUCCAUAGGUUAAUGAGGCGAACCGGGGGAACUGAAACAUCUAAGUACCCCGAGGAAAAGAAAUCAACCGAGAUUCCCCCAGUAGCGGCGAGCGAACGGGGAGCAGCCCAGAGCCUGAAUCAGUGUGUGUGUUAGUGGAAGCGUCUGGAAAGGCGCGCGAUACAGGGUGACAGCCCCGUACACAAAAAUGCACAUGCUGUGAGCUCGAUGAGUAGGGCGGGACACGUGGUAUCCUGUCUGAAUAUGGGGGGACCAUCCUCCAAGGCUAAAUACUCCUGACUGACCGAUAGUGAACCAGUACCGUGAGGGAAAGGCGAAAAGAACCCCGGCGAGGGGAGUGAAAAAGAACCUGAAACCGUGUACGUACAAGCAGUGGGAGCACGCUUAGGCGUGUGACUGCGUACCUUUUGUAUAAUGGGUCAGCGACUUAUAUUCUGUAGCAAGGUUAACCGAAUAGGGGAGCCGAAGGGAAACCGAGUCUUAACUGGGCGUUAAGUUGCAGGGUAUAGACCCGAAACCCGGUGAUCUAGCCAUGGGCAGGUUGAAGGUUGGGUAACACUAACUGGAGGACCGAACCGACUAAUGUUGAAAAAUUA